This 253-nucleotide ribosomal RNA is filed under the name uncultured bacterium. RNAcentral's name for it is "partial 16S ribosomal RNA". It matches the Rfam family "Bacterial small subunit ribosomal RNA", at positions 524 to 776 of the family's 1533-position model. The record is from RNAcentral.
UACGGGGGGGGCAAGCGUUGUCCGGAAUCAUUGGGCGUAAAGCGCGCGUAGGCGGCCCGAUAAGUCCGUCGUGAAAGUCAAAGGCUCAACCUUUGAAUGUCGAUGGAUACUGUCGGGCUAGAGUCCGGAAGAGGCGAGUGGAAUUCCUGGUGUAGCGGUGGAAUGCGCAGAUAUCAGGAGGAACACCAAUAGCGAAGGCAGCUCGCUGGGACGGUACUGACGCUAAGGCGCGAAAGCGUGGGGAGCGAACAGG